Molecule: long non-coding RNA, 488 nt
Organism: Homo sapiens (human)
Lineage: Eukaryota; Metazoa; Chordata; Mammalia; Primates; Hominidae
Exons: 2
Source: RefSeq, a predicted model, not a curated record
GGGAUGUGGUGCUUGAAUGGAUCCUGGAGUCGGCCAUUGCUCAAGCACACCACCAAACAGUGCCCUUGCAAAGCAGGCCUCAUCCCUGUCCACCGGGCCCAGCACCUCCCGGGUCUACCUCAUCUCAGACAACCCUGCUACUCUGAAUCCUGAUUUGAAAUCUUGGUGAAGGUGUUUAGACCCCACCUGAGGAGCUGUACAUAACAAAAGCCCUCAAUGCCACUAAACCAAUGGGAGAGGGGUAAGAGUACAAAGAAUUUAAAACCACAAUAGACUCAUAUUAUUCUAUUACCAGUAGAUAGAAAUCAAAUACGUUUUAUCAAUUUGAAGAACGUUUUCCACGUCAUCCAGUCACCCAGGCCACAAGAUCCUCAGUGACGACAGAUAAUUAUGAAAUUAGUUGUAUUAUUGAUACUGCUUUUUCCUGGGUAUUGGCUUCCCAGAGUUACUGAGAGAAUGAUGGAAUAAAGCAUCGACUUUGUCAUAUA